RNAcentral lists this transfer RNA (30 nucleotides) under Parvulastra exigua. RNAcentral describes it as "partial tRNA-Thr". The record is from RNAcentral. Lineage: Eukaryota; Metazoa; Echinodermata; Asteroidea; Valvatida; Asterinidae.
GGCCUUAAAAGCUAACAGGAUAGCGAUUAA